GAUCCUGGCUCAGAACGAACGCUGGCGGCAGGCUUAGGCAUGCAAGUCGAACGGAUGACAGAGAGCUUGCUCUCUGAAGUCAGUGGCGCACGAGUGAGUAACGCGUGGGAAACUGCCCUUCACUGGGGAAUAACGUUUGGAAACGAACGCUAAUACCGCAUACGCCCGCAAGGGGAAAGAUUUAUCGGUGAUGGAUGUGCCCGCGUUGGAUUAGCUAGUUGGUGGGGUAAUGGCCUACCAAGGCGAUGAUCCAUAGCUGGUCUGAGAGGACGAUCAGCCACGCUGGAACUGAGACACGGUCCAGACUCCUACGGGAGGCAGCAGCUAAGAAUAUUGGGCAAUGGAGGAAACUCUGACCCAGCCCAUGCCGCGUGAAUGAAGAAGGCCUUCGGGUUGUAAAGUUCUUUUAGUCAUGAAGAUGAUGACAGUAGUGACAGAAAAAGCACCGGCUAACUUCGUGCCAGCCGCUGC
RNAcentral lists this ribosomal RNA (471 nucleotides) under uncultured bacterium. RNAcentral describes it as "bacterial SSU rRNA". It matches the Rfam family "Bacterial small subunit ribosomal RNA", at positions 15 to 518 of the family's 1533-position model. The record is from RNAcentral.